RNAcentral lists this ribosomal RNA (253 nucleotides) under uncultured prokaryote. RNAcentral's name for it is "partial 16S ribosomal RNA". It matches the Rfam family "Bacterial small subunit ribosomal RNA", at positions 524 to 776 of the family's 1533-position model. The record is from RNAcentral.
GACGGAGGGGGCAAGCGUUGUCCGGAAUCACUGGGCGUAAAGCGCGCGUAGGUGGCGCGGUGCGUCGGUGCUGAAAGCGCCGGGCUUAACCCGGCGAGGUGCGCCGAUACGACCGGGCUCGAGGCCAGCAGAGGGUGGCGGAAUUCCGGGUGUAGUGGUGAAAUGCGUAGAGAUCCGGAGGAACGCCGGUGGUGAAGACGGCCACCUGGGCUGGACCUGACACUGAGGUGCGAUAGCGUGGGGAGCGAACCGG